UACGGAGGGAGCUAGCGUUGUUCGGAAUUACUGGGCGUAAAGAGCUCGUAGGCGGUUUGUUGCGUCGGCUGUGAAAUCCCGAGGCUCAACCUCGGGUCUGCAGUCGAUACGAGCAAACUAGAGUGUUGCAGGGGAGACUGGAAUUCCUGGUGUAGCGGUGAAAUGCGCAGAUAUCAGGAGGAACACCGGUGGCGAAGGCGGGUCUCUGGGCAACAACUGACGCUGAGGAGCGAAAGCGUGGGGAGCGAACAGG
This 253-nucleotide ribosomal RNA is filed under the name uncultured bacterium. RNAcentral's name for it is "partial 16S ribosomal RNA". It matches the Rfam family "Bacterial small subunit ribosomal RNA", at positions 524 to 776 of the family's 1533-position model. The record is from RNAcentral.